This 467-nucleotide ribosomal RNA is filed under the name uncultured bacterium. Its description in RNAcentral is "bacterial SSU rRNA". It matches the Rfam family "Bacterial small subunit ribosomal RNA", at positions 355 to 822 of the family's 1533-position model. The record is from RNAcentral.
UGGGGAAUAUUGGACAAUGGGCGAAAGCCUGAUCCAGCCAUGCCGCGUGUGAAGAAGGUCUUCGGAUUGUAAAGCACUUUAAGUUGGGAGGAAGGGCAGUUACCUAAUACGUGAUUGUUUUGACGUUACCGACAGAAUAAGCACCGGCUAACUCUGUGCCAGCAGCCGCGGUAAUACAGAGGGUGCAAGCGUUAAUCGGAAUUACUGGGCGUAAAGCGCGCGUAGGUGGUUAGUUAAGUUGGAUGUGAAAUCCCCGGGCUCAACCUGGGAACUGCAUUCAAAACUGACUGACUAGAGUAUGGUAGAGGGUGGUGGAAUUUCCUGUGUAGCGGUGAAAUGCGUAGAUAUAGGAAGGAACACCAGUGGCGAAGGCGACCACCUGGACUGAUACUGACACUGAGGUGCGAAAGCGUGGGGAGCAAACAGGAUUAGAUACCCCCGUAGUCCCUGAGCGGGCUGGCAAGGCG